RNAcentral lists this ribosomal RNA (255 nucleotides) under uncultured bacterium. RNAcentral describes it as "partial 16S ribosomal RNA". It matches the Rfam family "Bacterial small subunit ribosomal RNA", at positions 524 to 777 of the family's 1533-position model. The record is from RNAcentral.
UACGAAGGGGGCUAGCGUUGCUCGGAAUCACUGGGCGUAAAGCGCACGUAGGCGGGUCUUUAAGUCAGGGGUGAAAUCCUGGAGCUCAACUCCAGAACUGCCUUUGAUACUGAGGAUCUCGAGUCCGGGAGAGGUGAGUGGAACUCCGAGUGUAGAGGUGAAAUUCGUAGAUAUUCGGAAGAACACCAGUGGCGAAGGCGGCUCACUGGCCCGGUACUGACGCUGAGGUGCGAAAGCGUGGGGGAGCAAACAGGG